RNAcentral lists this ribosomal RNA (497 nucleotides) under uncultured bacterium. RNAcentral describes it as "partial 16S ribosomal RNA". It matches the Rfam family "Bacterial small subunit ribosomal RNA", at positions 28 to 507 of the family's 1533-position model. The record is from RNAcentral.
GAUGAACGCUGGCGGCGUGCCUAAUACAUGCAAGUCGAGCGAACAGACGAGGAGCUUGCUCCUCUGACGUUAGCGGCGGACGGGUGAGUAACACGUGGAUAACCUACCUAUAAGACUGGGAUAACUUCGGGAAAUCGGAGCUAAUACCGGAUAAUCUAUUGAACCGCAUGGUUCAAUAGUGAAAGUCGGUUUUGCUGUCACUUAUAGAUGCAUCCGGGCCGCAUUAGCUAGUUGGUAAGGUAACGGCUUACCAAGGCAACGAUGCGUAGCCGACCUGAGAGGGUGAUCGGCCACACUGGAACUGAGACACGGUCCAGACUCCUACGGGAGGCAGCAGUAGGGAAUCUUCCGCAAUGGGCGAAAGCUUGACGGAGCAAGGCCGCGUGAGUGAUGAAGGUCUUCGGAUCGUAAAACUCUGUUAUUAGGGAAGAACAAAUGUGUAAGUAACUAUGCACGUAUUGACGGUACCUAAUCAGAAAGCCACGGCUAACUACGUG